UUGAGAGUGAGCUUAAGGGUUUGUCGACAGCAAAGAAAAUUGAGAGAGAACGUCCUUGUUUUAGCUUUGCGCGCUCCAGAGAGAUGGAGAAAGAUUUGGUUCACCGUUUCCAUAAAAGGAAAAGAUCCAGCAGCAAUCCAGUCCAGAACCAUACGCGACGCAGGCUUACUACUAUUGAAUAUGAAUACAUACCUCUGCCGGAAGAUGAAGAAGAAGAACUGGUAGAGGAGGAAGUAGUUGAGAAAGUGGUAGAGAAAGAAGAAGAAGAAGAACCAGUAGAGGAGGAAGAGGAAGAAGAUCCAGAAGAGGAAGAAGAAGAAGAACCAGUAGAGGAGGAAGAGGAAGAAGAUCCGGAAGAGGAAGAAGAAGAUCGGGAAGAGGAGGGAGAAGGCUGUGAAAUUGAGUUGGAAUACUAUGUGCAUUGCCAAGGGAGUGAAAAUCAUGAUGAGGAUGUUGGAGAAAACAAUCCUAUGGAAGAUGAUGAAGCAACAUCUAAGUUUAAGGGCAUAGACCCUAUUUCUGUCACCCUUUCUAACCCUAAAGUCCUCGACUGCUGCAGCUGCUGUCAACCAUUGACUAUUCCUGUCUUCCAGUGCGAGAAAGGGCAUUUUGCUUGCUUUACCUGUUGUGCUCUUGGAAGGGAGUGUCUUGAGUGCUCAUCUCGCAUUCAUUACAACCGUUGCAAAGCUAUUGAGAAAGUGUUGGAAUCUAUUAACAUAUCAUGCCUUAAUGCAAAAUAUGGUUGCAAAGAGACAUUGAGUUACGGUGAAAGGAAUAACCAUGAGAAGAAAUGUAUCUACAUUCCAUGUUUAUGCCCACACAAAGGUUGUGACUUUGUUGCCUCAUCAAAGGAGUUAUCCCUCCACUUCAGCAAAAAACAUAAAAGUUCUGGAAUCCAAUUUUUAUACAAUCACUCUUUCCAUGUAUCCGUGAAUUCUGAUGAUGAAUUUCUUAUUCUUCAAGAGCAAACAGAUGGAAAUUUGUUUAUUCUCAAAAACAAUGUUGUUGAGAAUAUGGGAAAUGUGGUCACUAUUAGCUGCAUGGGGCCUAACUCUUCUCAGCCAGGGUAUGGUCAUGCUAUAGCCGCCAAGUCUAACGGAAGCUGUCUAACGUUGAUGUCUUCUACCAAGAACAUUCAAAUGGGCACUGCAGAUAUUCCUUCAUCAGGGUUCCUUGUGAUUCCAUUUGACUGUUUUAAUUGUUAUGCAUCUCUCCAUCUGGAGAUUUGCAUAAGAAAAAGAUAGAAUGCUUCACACAUUGCAGAGUGGGAAGAUUGCAUGCAUCAACUGUCCAGAAGCUUGGAAGGGGCCCUGUGAGAGGUUUAAUUAAGCUACUGACUGAUUCCAUCAAAGACUAAGUAAGUAGGAUCGGUGGAAGGGGGUGAAGGAAGGAAUUUUUUAGCUUUCUCCACAAAGGCAGUUUGUGAGAUAACAGACGACUGAGAUUGAGGGAAUGACCAAAGCAAUGGAGUUGAGUAUCAUUAUUGUUGUCAGCAGAGUGGUUAUAAGCGUCUUAUUGCUAUUCAUGCUGGAAAACCCAAGGGCAGUCUGAAGGAAGCAUUAAAAGUUGAAAAUGAUAGAGUUAGACGCCUUAGCUUAAGUGAACAAGCCCUUGAAAAGGCUACUGAGUCACUUGGAACUGAUCUUAUUAGAUUCACCCAGAAAAACUUUUUGAGGGUGUACCCCAAGGGUACACGGGUCAACUCCUCCAACUACAAGCCUCUGGUUGGCUGGAUGCAUGGUGCUCAAAAGGGAUAUGGCAGAACAAGGUUCACAAUUCCUGCACAAUAGGAGGUUUCCAAACUGGAAAUAGCAGAUUUCUUGAUAAAAAAGCAUCCAAAUCCAAAGGGGGUUGUCUAUGACUAUUAAUUUUUCAAUCUGAGAUUAUCACAUGAGACGUUGGGUUUAAUCUAUGGAAUGUGUGAAAGAUGAUUCUGUGGCCCUCUUCAAUUACAUGUCCAAUAUUUGUCCAUGGAUACUGUAUAAAUAUCAGAUCUGUAUUAUUUAAAUA
This is an RNA transcript of Gastrolobium bilobum, 2010 nucleotides long. It is a transcript of the gene named E3 ubiquitin-protein ligase SINA-like 10, with no coding region annotated. The transcript is spliced from 7 exons. The record is from RefSeq and is a predicted model, not a curated record. Lineage: Eukaryota; Viridiplantae; Streptophyta; Magnoliopsida; Fabales; Fabaceae.